UAGGGAAUCUUCCACAAUGGACGAAAGUCUGAUGGAGCAACGCCGCGUGAGUGAUGAAGGGUUUCGGCUCGUAAAACUCUGUUGUUGGAGAAGAACAGGUGUGAGAGUAACUGUUCACAUCUUGACGGUAUCCAACCAGAAAGCCACGGCUAACUACGUGCCAGCAGCCGCGGUAAUACGUAGGUGGCAAGCGUUGUCCGGAUUUAUUGGGCGUAAAGCGAGCGCAGGCGGUUUCUUAGGUCUGAUGUGAAAGCCUUCGGCUUAACCGGAGAAGUGCAUCGGAAACCAGGAGACUUGAGUGCAGAAGAGGACAGUGGAACUCCAUGUGUAGCGGUGAAAUGCGUAGAUAUAUGGAAGAACACCAGUGGCGAAGGCGGCUGUCUGGUCUGUAACUGACGCUGAGGCUCGAAAGCAUGGGUAGCGAACAGGAUUAGAUACCCUGGUAGUCCAUGCCGUAAACGAUGAGUGCUAAGUG
RNAcentral lists this ribosomal RNA (475 nucleotides) under uncultured bacterium. RNAcentral describes it as "partial 16S ribosomal RNA". It matches the Rfam family "Bacterial small subunit ribosomal RNA", at positions 355 to 822 of the family's 1533-position model. The record is from RNAcentral.